GGCGGACGGGUGAGUAAUGCUUAGGAAUCUGCCUAUUAGUGGGGGACAACAUUCCGAAAGGAAUGCUAAUACCGCAUACGCCCUACGGGGGAAAGCAGGGGAUCUUCGGACCUUGCGCUAAUAGAUGAGCCUAAGUCGGAUUAGCUAGUUGGUGGGGUAAAGGCCUACCAAGGCGACGAUCUGUAGCGGGUCUGAGAGGAUGAUCCGCCACACUGGGACUGAGACACGGCCCAGACUCCUACGGGAGGCAGCAGUGGGGAAUAUUGGACAAUGGGCGGAAGCCUGAUCCAGCCAUGCCGCGUGUGUGAAGAAGGCCUUUUGGUUGUAAAGCACUUUAAGCGAGGAGGAGGCUCCUUUAGUUAAUACCUAAAGAGAGUGGACGUUACUCGCAGAAUAAGCACCGGCUAACUCUGUGCCAGCAGCCGCGGUAAUACAGAGGGUGCGAGCGUUAAUCGGAUUUACUGGGCGUAAAGCGUGCGUAGGCGGCUUUUUAAGUCGGAUGUGAAAUCCCUGAGCUUAACUUAGGAAUUGCAUUCGAUACUGGAAAGCUAGAGUAUGGGAGAGGAUGGUAGAAUUCCAGGUGUAGCGGUGAAAUGCGUAGAGAUCUGGAGGAAUACCGAUGGCGAAGGCAGCCAUCUGGCCUAAUACUGACGCUGAGGUACGAAAGCAUGGGGAGCAAACAGGAUUAGAUACCCUGGUAGUCCAUGCCGUAAACGAUGUCUACUAGCCGUUGGGGCCUUUGAGGCUUUAGUGGCGCAGCUAACGCGAUAAGUAGACCGCC
RNAcentral lists this ribosomal RNA (781 nucleotides) under Acinetobacter sp. A1a-5. RNAcentral's name for it is "bacterial SSU rRNA". It matches the Rfam family "Bacterial small subunit ribosomal RNA", at positions 97 to 873 of the family's 1533-position model. The record is from RNAcentral. RNAcentral also lists the same sequence under 2 other names. Lineage: Bacteria; Pseudomonadati; Pseudomonadota; Gammaproteobacteria; Moraxellales; Moraxellaceae.